Long non-coding RNA from Juglans regia (Persian walnut), 361 nucleotides. RefSeq lists it as uncharacterized. The transcript has 3 exons. The record is from RefSeq and is a predicted model, not a curated record. NCBI's taxonomy places the organism in Eukaryota, Viridiplantae, Streptophyta, Magnoliopsida, Fagales, Juglandaceae.
CUCUGAUGGCAUCUCCGGACUUGAAAGGCAAUGCCCAAGGGUAAGAGCCAAAAACAAAGGCUAAUAGAACAUGCUCGAUGAAGUAAAAUGCAAACUUCUCCUCAAGACCUGAAAGAUGCUGCAUAACCUUUUUGGGUGGCUGGUAAAGUUUCAUACAUCUUAAGGAUUUCAGUCCAGUUGUAGUCCAUCAGCAUGCCAGACAUUGCAAGCAGCUCAAACAAUUGGCUGUUUCAUUAUUUAGCACGUAGAGGUGGUGCAAUCAGCCGAAGUGCUAAAGAAAUCUUCUGAUCCAGUGGAGUGGUAGAAUCCGUAAGAGAAGAGUCGUUUGAGUUCUGUGACCAUGACAGAGACAAUGAUGAUA